RNAcentral lists this ribosomal RNA (426 nucleotides) under Staphylococcus arlettae. Its description in RNAcentral is "bacterial SSU rRNA". It matches the Rfam family "Bacterial small subunit ribosomal RNA", at positions 343 to 763 of the family's 1533-position model. The record is from RNAcentral. Lineage: Bacteria; Bacillati; Bacillota; Bacilli; Caryophanales; Staphylococcaceae.
UGGAGGCACCAGUAAGGAUUUUUCCCCAAUGGGGCAAACCCUGACGGAGCAACGCCGCGUGAGUGAGGAAGGGUUUUGGCUCGUAAAACUUUGUUAUUAGGGAAGAACAAACGUGUAAGUAACCUAGCAAUUCUUGACGGUACUUAAUCAGAAAGCCACGGCUAACUACGUGCCAGCAGCCGCGGUAAUACAGAGGGGGCAAGCGUUAUUCGGAAUUAUUGGGCGUAAAGCGCGCGUAGGCGGUUUAUUAAGUCAAAUGUGAAAUCCCCCAGCUCAACUUGGGAGGGUCAUUGGAAACUGGGAGACUAGAGUGCAGAAGAGGAAAGUGGAAUCCCAUGGUAGCGGGAAAUGCGCAGAGUUAGGGAGGAACACCAGUGGGGAAGCAGCCUUUCUUGCUCAGUCACUGACGCUAAUUGCGAAAGGACC